RNAcentral lists this ribosomal RNA (614 nucleotides) under Trametes polyzona. Its description in RNAcentral is "LSU rRNA". It matches the Rfam family "Eukaryotic large subunit ribosomal RNA", at positions 68 to 667 of the family's 3401-position model. Lineage: Eukaryota; Fungi; Basidiomycota; Agaricomycetes; Polyporales; Polyporaceae. The record is from RNAcentral.
AAGGGAAUCCCCCUAGUACUGCGAGUGAAGCGGGAAAAGCUCAAAUUUAAAAUCUGGCGGUCUUUGGCCGUCCGAGUUGUAGUCUGGAGAAGUGCUUUCCGCGCUGGACCGUGUACAAGUCUCUUGGAACAGAGCGUCAUAGAGGGUGAGAAUCCCGUCUUUGACACGGACUACCAGUGCUUUGUGAUGCGCUCUCAAAGAGUCGAGUUGUUUGGGAAUGCAGCUCAAAAUGGGUGGUGAAUUCCAUCUAAAGCUAAAUAUUGGCGAGAGACCGAUAGCGAACAAGUACCGUGAGGGAAAGAUGAAAAGCACUUUGGAAAGAGAGUUAAACAGUACGUGAAAUUGCUGAAAGGGAAACGCUUGAAGUCAGUCGCGUCGUCCGGAACUCAGCCUUGCUUCGGCUUGGUGCACUUUCCGGAUGACGGGCCAGCAUCGAUUUUGACCGCCGGAAAAGGGUAGGAGAAAUGUGGCACCUUCGGGUGUGUUAUAGUCUCCUAUCGCAUACGGCGGUUGGGAUCGAGGAACGCAGCGCGCCUUAUGGCUGGGGUUCGCCCACAUUCGCGCUUAGGAUGCUGGCAUAAUGGCUUUAAACGACCCGUCUUGAAACACGGACC